AUAACGGUCCUAAGGUAGCGAAAUUCCUUGUCAGGUAAGUUCUGACCCGCACGAAAGGCGUAAUGAUUUGGGCGCUGUCUCGGCAGCAGACUCGGUGAAAUCUUAGUACCUGUGAAGAUGCAGGUUACCCGCAACUAGACGGAAAGACCCCAUGGAGCUUUACUGUAGCCUGAUAUUGAGUUUUGAUCAAGUAUGUACAGGAUAGGUGGGAGACGAAGAAGUUGGGACGUCAGUUUCAAUGGAGUCGACGUUGGGAUACCACUCUUAGUUGAUUGAAAUUCUAACCUGUAUCCAUGAGCUGGGUAAGGGACAGUGUCAGGUGGGCAGUUUGACUGGGGCGGUCGCCUCCUAAAGAGUAACGGAGGCGCCCAAAGGUACCCUCAGAUUGGUUGGAAAUCAAUCGACGAGCGCAAAUGCAGAAGGGUGCUUGACUGCAAGACAGACAAGUCGAGCAGGGACGAAAGUCGGGAUUAGUGAUCCGGCGGUGCAGAAUGGAAUGGCCGUCGCUUAACGGAUAAAAGCUACCCUGGGGAUAACAGGCUGAUCUCGCCCAAGAGUUCACAUCGACGGGGAGGUUUGGCACCUCGAUGUCGGCUCAUCGCAUCCUGGAGCUGAAGUCGGUUCCAAGGGUUGGGCUGUUCGCCCAUUAAAGCGGUACGCGAGCUGGGUUCAGAACGUCGUGAGACAGUUCGGUCCCUAUCUGUUGUGGGCGUAGGAAAUUUGAGGAGAGCUGUCCUUAGUACGAGAGGACCGGGAUGGACCCACCGCUGGUGCACCAGUUGUAUCGCCAGAUGCAUAGCUGGGUAGCUAAGUGGGGAACGGAUAAACGCUGAAGGCAUCUAAGCGUGAAACCGACUCCGAGAUGAGAUUUCCCAUUUCCAAGAGAAAGUAAGACCCCUUGAAGACGACGAGGUAGAUAGGUCAGAGAUGGAAGCACAGCGAUGUGUGGAGUUGACUGAUACUAAUCGGUCGAGGAUUUAAUCAC
RNAcentral lists this ribosomal RNA (985 nucleotides) under human gut metagenome. RNAcentral's name for it is "bacterial LSU rRNA". It matches the Rfam family "Bacterial large subunit ribosomal RNA", at positions 1942 to 2925 of the family's 2925-position model. The record is from RNAcentral.